UACGGGGGGGGCAAGCGUUGUUCGGAAUUACUGGGCGUAAAGGGUUUGUAGGUGGCUCGAUAAGUCUGCUGUGAAAGUCCAGGGCUCAACCCUGGAAGGCCGGUGGAAACUGUCGGGCUAGAGUCCGGAAGAGGCGAGUGGAAUUCCCGGUGUAGCGGUGAAAUGCGCAGAUAUCGGGAGGAACACCAAUGGCGAAGGCAGCUCGCUGGGACGGUACUGACGCUGAGACGCGAAAGCGUGGGGAGCAAACAGG
This 253-nucleotide ribosomal RNA is filed under the name uncultured bacterium. RNAcentral's name for it is "partial 16S ribosomal RNA". It matches the Rfam family "Bacterial small subunit ribosomal RNA", at positions 524 to 776 of the family's 1533-position model. The record is from RNAcentral.